Molecule: transfer RNA, 67 nt
Filed under: Tringa glareola (Wood sandpiper)
Lineage: Eukaryota; Metazoa; Chordata; Aves; Charadriiformes; Scolopacidae
Description: tRNA-Cys
Source: RNAcentral
GACCCUGUGGUGAAAUUCAUGUUGAGUUGCAAGCUCAUUGAUGUGCAUUAAAAGUGUACCGGGGUCU